AUUCCGCGUGGCGUUUAUCCUCUGAACUCCCCCAGGGCAGGAAUGCAGCAAGGGUCAGGAGGCUCUGGCGGGUGCGCGGGA
Molecule: signal recognition particle RNA, 81 nt
Filed under: Corynebacterium phoceense
Lineage: Bacteria; Bacillati; Actinomycetota; Actinomycetes; Mycobacteriales; Corynebacteriaceae
Description: Bacterial small signal recognition particle RNA
Rfam family: Bacterial small signal recognition particle RNA
About the family: The signal recognition particle (SRP) is a universally conserved ribonucleoprotein involved in the co-translational targeting of proteins to membranes. Archaeal SRP consists of a 7S RNA and homologues of the eukaryotic SRP19 and SRP54 proteins. In most bacteria, the SRP consists of a 4.5S RNA and the Ffh protein (a homologue of the eukaryotic SRP54 protein).
Source: RNAcentral